AAAAACUGAAAAGUAAUAUUAUACUCAAAUUAACUUAUUAUUUAAUAUAAUAUUCAUAAACAUUAUACUCAAAUUAUAUUUUAAUCAAGAAUAAUCAGAAUAACACCUUCGUAUAACACCUUAUUGUUGGAGAUAGAAAAUUAGUGAAAUAUGGAUAGUGCCACAAGGAGGUGCUAAAAUGAGAAUAGCACCUCCGAAUAGCACUUAUUGUUGGAGUUGCCCUAAGAUCAACUCUAAAGCUCGGCACACAUAGAACAUUAUUCAAUUGAAAAGAAUUAUUAAACCGAAUUAAACCAAUCAUAGUAAUUUCAGCCCUACCUCCAUUGGGUACCCAGAGAUAACACCCACAAUCUGUUCCUCGUUCUCUCCUCAGUUCUUCUUCCUCAGAACCCAGCCCUCAACCACUUCUCCUCUUCUUUUCCCUCACCAUCACCCAGCCCUCACCCAAAAUAUCUCUUCUCAGUUCUCACGCUUGUUUUCUUUGGUUCCCAAACUUGUCUUCUCCAAGUCUCCGAUCCAAACUCAAUUUUCAUGUCAGAUCUGUAAUAUCCCACAUCGGCCAAACGGAGAGGGGUUAUGUGCUGUAUAUGUACAUGCCCACCUCCAAUCUAACACGAGGCCUUUUGGUGGCUAAACGGAUUCGAAGGAGAUGGGUACUCCGAGGUUAAGCAUGUUGAUGCUAGAGCAAUCCCAAGAUGGGUGACCUACUGGGAAGCUGCUCCUGAGCUGUCGAAAACAAAACUGUGAGGGCCGAUGGGCCCAAAGCGGACAAUAUCGUGUUACGGCGAAAUGGGUCCUGGGAUGUGACAAAUGGUAUCAGAGCCACUCUGUCGUGUGGUGCGAGUGUGCCGACGAGGGCGUCGGACUCCCAAGGGGGGUGGAUUGUAAUAUCCCACAUCGGCCAAACGGAGAGGGGUUAUGUGUUGUAUAUGUACAUGCCCACCUCCAAUCUAACACGAGGCCUUUUGGUGGCUCAGCGGAUUCGGAGGGGAUGGAUACUCCGAGGUUAAGCAUGUUGAUGCUAGAGCAAUCCCAGGAUGGGUGACCUACUGGGAAGCUGCUCCUGAGCUGUCGGAAACAAAACCGUAAGGGCCGGUGGGCCCAAAGCGGACAAUAUCGUGUUACGGCGGAAUGGGUCCUGGGAUGUGACAAGAUCUCUCUAAAUUAGUUCCUUAUCCUUGUAUCAUUUCUAGGUUAGUAUGGUUAUGGUGUUUGUAUCAUUUCUAGGUUAGUAUGGUUAUGGUGUUAGAUUGAAGCUUUAAGAUGCGCAAAUGGUUUUGUUAGAUAGAAAUUUAUGGUAGUGUAUGUUUACUGUGUCUAACCUAUCAUGCUCUAUGUGUUUACAAUUUUCAAUGAUUUGAUAUUUGAAUUCGUUUCAAUUAUGUCUAGAUUGCCCAGCUGAAAUUUGUAUACGAGAACCAUAGAUGUAUAAAUCACCUAUGGGUUUGACGUCUCCAUGUGUAAAGUAAAUUGUUGUACUUCAUGAAUGGUCAAGCAUUUUACUCAAAAGCAUUAUAUGUAUGUGUAUAAUGCCUGAAAAAAGCUCUCUUAAUAAUUGUAUAAUUGAAGCAUUACUGAUGUUGUUAUGUACAUCUGUAAAAUGAUUAUUAAUGUUCUUUUGAAUUUAU
This 1628-nucleotide long non-coding RNA is filed under the name Fragaria vesca (wild strawberry). RNAcentral describes it as "long non-coding RNA (FVES_LNC000325)". The record is from RNAcentral. Lineage: Eukaryota; Viridiplantae; Streptophyta; Magnoliopsida; Rosales; Rosaceae.